GGAGCAGCAGUGGGGAAUAUUGCACAAUGGGCGAAAGCCUGAUGCAGCGACGCCGCGUGAGGGAUGACGGCCUUCGGGUUGUAAACCUCUUUCGACAGGGACGAAGCGCAAGUGACGGUACCUGUAGAAGAAGCACCGGCCAACUACGUGCCAGCAGCCGCGGUAAUACGUAGGGUGCGAGCGUUGUCCGGAAUUACUGGGCGUAAAGAGCUUGUAGGCGGCUUGUCGCGUCGAUCGUGAAAACUUGGGGCUCAACCCCAAGCUUGCGGUCGAUACGGGCAGGCUUGAGUACUUCAGGGGAGACUGGAAUUCCUGGUGUAGCGGUGAAAUGCGCAGAUAUCAGGAGGAACACCGGUGGCGAAGGCGGGUCUCUGGGAAGUAACUGACGCUGAGAAGCGAAAGCGUGGGUAGCGAACAGGAUUAGAUACCCUGGUAGUCCACGCCGUAAACGGUGGGUACUAGGUGUGGGUUUCCUUCCACGGGAUCCGUGCCGUAGCUAAC
RNAcentral lists this ribosomal RNA (501 nucleotides) under uncultured bacterium. RNAcentral's name for it is "bacterial SSU rRNA". It matches the Rfam family "Bacterial small subunit ribosomal RNA", at positions 345 to 856 of the family's 1533-position model. The record is from RNAcentral.